This is a long non-coding RNA of Monodelphis domestica (gray short-tailed opossum), 1865 nucleotides long. The record is from Ensembl. Lineage: Eukaryota; Metazoa; Chordata; Mammalia; Didelphimorphia; Didelphidae.
ACUUAAGAAAGUGAUGGACAAGAAACCAAAGGGAUGCCCAUCAGUUGGGGAAUUGCUGAACAAGUUGUGGCAUAUGGAUCUGAGGAAACAAAGACAAUAGUAUCAUUUGAGUUUUCAUGGGAAGAAAUCCAUAAACCUGGAGGGGGAAGAAAGAUGGAGAACAUUUGGUUGACGGUAAAAGCAGAAAGGGGAUGGAGAAGAAAGAGGAGUGGGAAUUGUGGGAGCAUUGCAUCUCCUCUGCCUGAAGUCACACCUUACUGGUUUACUGAUGUUCUGGAGAACUUCAGAAGGCCUUGCACUCUGGUCAAGUGGUUGAGAUUGGUUGAGAUUAAAAGAGUUCUGAGUUCUUGUUGCAAGGUGAAUAUUUACAAUGGUAGGACAAACCCUGACAGAAGAACAAAGGAUAAAGAAGUGAAAUACUUUGUCACUUUGUUAAACCACAUCUAAAGAGGAAACUUCUUUCUUGAGGAGUUGUGGGGGGUGCAGGUGAGGGGGUAGAGGAAUAUGCCUCACUGAAACAAGAAGCUUGAAGGUCUUAUAAACCAAAGAGCUAAAAUUCUUUGUGUAGAGUGGAUAUUAGGCAGAAAAAAAAAUUCAUCCACUUACCUUCUAUGAUUUACCCCUAUUGAAAAGGCGCUCCUCCUUCCUGAGGCUCCAAGUGGAAAAGAAAACUGAAACUCAUUUUUACAAAAAAGAAUUCAUUUCAGACCAAGAAUCCACAAAAGCCUGUGCCCUUGUAUGAGGUUGGUGUCCUUGUUUGCAGAAGGAAACAUUCUGAAUUCAUUAAAAGUCUGUCAGAAAGACAGAAUUUGUAGAAAUGGCCACGUUCUGCCAAAUUCAUGUCAGUUGUUAAGUUUACAUGACAUUGUCGUAAGGCACUCUACAGGCUUCUACAGACAUGCAAAGAGGCCAAAGACUUUAUUUGUGAUCCAGUCUUGUAAAGUAAGCCAAGUUACCUUAUAUACACUGAAAUCUGAAAAGCAAAAAAAAAUCACAGCUGGUUCCUGGCUCUAAAGCCAGGAGAAUACUGGGAACCUUUAUUUUGUCAAAUACGGGACUCAGCAAGUCCAAAGUACCAAGCCAAAUGAAGGUAACUGGUUUAUUUGAUGACCCUUAUUACAAAUACAUUAUUUUAAACUGCAAGAUGUAACAACACUGUCUUCAGUCAUACAUAGGUGCAUAAUCCACCAAACAGCAGUACAUCUGCUAAACAUUGAAAAAUAACAUCCCCAAAUAUCAAUUCAAGUUCAAGAACAAUUAAGAAACUAAACUUUUUUUAAAAAAAAAGUAUGCUUAAGACCUACAAGUAAAACCAAAAAUGAAAAAAAAAUGACUCCAAAUUAAAUUUCAAGCCAUUUAAAGGUAUCAUGCUUAUUGAAGUGAAUCGAAUGACAAAUCUGACUCACAUUUAAAAUGUUCUACUGUGAUUCUGAAAUCCCUGACAGACCCUAGUUCACUAAUCUCAUGUAAAGUUAUAGCAAAUGCUAAAUGAAUCUGUCUCCUACCUAACUUGGCUCAUCUUUACCGGUUAACAAAACAGAUGUGAUUUCUAAAAGUUGUUAAUGGUCUUUGUAAUGGCAGUGCCCAAGGCUGCUUUGGCUUAGUAAAGUGCUAUUUGCUGGACUGAAAUGUAGUUGUUUAUGCAUGUCAAAAUGUUUCACAAAGCCAGCUGGGUUCAUUUCAGCUCCACUUACAAAAUAAGUAUUGGCCAAUGAAACAGGCCAGGGCAGAAAGACAAACUUGCCCUGCUCUGCUGUCCGCCUGCCCCUUUGCCCCCAACCCCAAACGUUUUCAAGCUCCUGAAAGACUGACACAAACCAAACUCUUCAACUAGUCAAAUAAAGUGAAAAGGUCCAAAGAAAUCA